UGGGGGAUAUUGCACAAUGGGCGAAAGCCUGCUGCAGCGACGCCGCGUGGGGGAUGAAGGCCUUCGGGUUGUAAACUUCUUUUGCUCUGAACAAGGCAUGCCUUUGGGGUGUGUUGAGUGUAGGGGUUGAUUAGCGCCGGCUAACUACGUGCCAGCAGCCGCGGUAAUACGUAGGGCGCGAGCGUUGUCCGGAAUUAUUGGGCGUAAAGGGCUUGUAGGUGGCUGGUUGCGUCUGUCGUGAAAGCUCAUGGCUUAACUGUGGGUUUGCGGUGGGGACGUGCUUGCUUGAGUGCAGUAGGGGAGGCUGGAAUUCCUGGUGUAGCGGUGGAAUGCGCAGAUAUCAGGAGGAAUACCGGUGGCGAAGGCGGGUCUCUGGGCUGUUACUGACGCUGAGGAGCGAAAGCGUGGGGAGCGAACAGG
Molecule: ribosomal RNA, 420 nt
Filed under: Fusobacteriota bacterium
Lineage: Bacteria; Fusobacteriati; Fusobacteriota
Description: Fusobacteria bacterium partial 16S ribosomal RNA
Rfam family: Bacterial small subunit ribosomal RNA
Source: RNAcentral